RNAcentral lists this ribosomal RNA (16 nucleotides) under Acinetobacter baumannii 573719. The record is from RNAcentral. Lineage: Bacteria; Pseudomonadati; Pseudomonadota; Gammaproteobacteria; Moraxellales; Moraxellaceae.
UAAGCGUCCGCUGAAU